AUUGAACGCUGGCGGCAUGCCUUACACAUGCAAGUCGAACGGUAAUGCGGGGCAACCAGGCGACGAGUGGCGAACGGGCGAGUAACGCAUCGGAACGUGCCACGUGGUGGGGGAUAGCCCGGCGAAAGCCGGAAUAAUACCCCACACGACCUACGGGAGAACGGGGGGGAUCGCAAGACCUCUCGCUAUAGGCGCGGGCGAUGUUAGAUUAGCUAGUUGGUGGGGUAAAAGCGUACCAAGGCGACGAUCUGUAUCUGGUCUGAGAGGACGACCAGUCAGACUGGGACUGAGACGCGGCCCAGACUCCUACGGGAGGCAGCGGUGGGGAAUUUUGGACAAUGGGCGAAAGCCUGAUCCAGCCACGCCGCGUGCGGGAAUAAGCCCUUCGGGUUGUAAACCGCUUUUGUCAGGGAAGAAAUCUUCUGAGUGAAUGCCUCGGGAGGAUGACGGUACCUGAAGAAUAAGCACCUGCUAACUACGUGCCAGCCGCCGCCGUAA
RNAcentral lists this ribosomal RNA (498 nucleotides) under uncultured bacterium. RNAcentral's name for it is "partial 16S ribosomal RNA". It matches the Rfam family "Bacterial small subunit ribosomal RNA", at positions 29 to 523 of the family's 1533-position model. The record is from RNAcentral.